GCCAAUAAACAGGUAUGUUUUAAGUUGCUAAUGUAUGAUCAUUUGUUACAUAACAAUAGAAAUCUGAUAUGGAACCCUUGGCAUUCAGGCAUGUGGAGGAGGUCAUCAACAGAAUGUGACUAUCUGGUGAUGCACAAGCUGGACCUAGGCAAUCAGAAGCUCCUCAUCAUCUCCCCUGUCCUGGGAAUGUACCUCUGACUUACUAUUCCCAGAGCCAGAGCCAUUUCAAGGAGGCAGCCUUGAGAGAUUAAUUAAUGUGUUGUCAGGAACAUCUGCACGGUGUAUGUAACUAAACCCCGUUUACAAACUUUUAAGAUGCUGGUGGGUGAAUGUGGAGAUGUACUCAUCUUGUGGAUCACCCAAGAUAAACCCCAUAUAAGUGGAGCUGUGAACAUUAGACGGCACCUGUACUACUGGUAUAUUGAGUUCUACUUCAUGAUGCCCACACCUAUUGGCCUGAGACUUCGUUUAUACAAAGUUCUGACAACAUUCUUGGAUACCUGGCAAGAAUAUCUGAAGAGUCCCUCUUUUUGUAGUAAGCACAUAUGCAUUUGCUCAGUUAUUCUUCUGGUCAAAUAAACAACUCAUCUAUU
This is a long non-coding RNA of Felis catus (domestic cat), 593 nucleotides long. RefSeq lists it as uncharacterized. Lineage: Eukaryota; Metazoa; Chordata; Mammalia; Carnivora; Felidae. The transcript is spliced from 2 exons. The record is from RefSeq and is a predicted model, not a curated record.